AACGUAGGAGACGAACGUUAUCCGGAGUUACUGGGCGUAAAGGGCGUGUAGGCGGUUUGUUAAGUCUGGCGUGAAAGCUCUCGGCUAAACCGGGAGAGGUCGUUGGAUACUGGCAAACUUGAGGAUGGUAGAGGCGUGUGGAAUUCCGGGUGUAGUGGUGAAAUGCGUAGAGAUCCGGAGGAACACCAGUGGCGAAGGCGACACGCUGGGCCAUACCUGACGCUAAAGCGCGACAGCAUGGGGAGCAAACGGG
RNAcentral lists this ribosomal RNA (253 nucleotides) under uncultured bacterium. RNAcentral's name for it is "partial 16S ribosomal RNA". It matches the Rfam family "Bacterial small subunit ribosomal RNA", at positions 524 to 776 of the family's 1533-position model. The record is from RNAcentral.